Molecule: non-coding RNA, 1545 nt
Organism: Pteronotus mesoamericanus
Lineage: Eukaryota; Metazoa; Chordata; Mammalia; Chiroptera; Mormoopidae
Source: the annotation of a RefSeq genome assembly
AUGACUCCAGAAGAUGCCAUGGUGAGGGUGCAGCAGGGCCUGGUGGACUCGGCCUGGGACCUGUACACAUGGGGGCUGGAUGGGGAAGGGAUAACCCCCACGCAGGGCCCGUCCGUCUUCCCCCUGGUCCCCUGCCCCAGCAGCAUUGGCGAGGCGAGCGCCCCUGUGGCCCUGGGCUGCCUGGUCAAAGACUACAACCCGGAGCCCGUGAACGUGACCUGGGAUGCGGGGUCCCUGGAAAUAAACAUCACAACCCUCCCUGCCACCAUCGACUUGACCUCCGGCCUCUACACCACCUCCAGCCACGUGACCACUGCCUCAGACGAGUGGGCCACACAGGAGUUCACCUGCACCGUGGAGCACGCCGAGUCUGCCCCUGUGAAAGUGACCAUGGGCCGGAAGGAAGGUGGGCCCAACUGCCACCACGGGCUGCCGUCAGGGGACCAGGGGCAGGCUGGUGGGGUGGUGCGUCACACCCGGAGCACUCGGGCCCUGGGCUGGGAGGUAGGGUUCAGACGCUCAGAGAGGUCAACGUCAGGCUCGCCACCUGUGCCCCCAGUGUGCUAUGACAACGUCACUCAGCCCACCAUGAAGCUGUACCACUCCUCCUGCGACCCCAGUGGCAACACCUAUGCCAUCAUCCAGCUCCUGUGCCUCAUCACCAACGUCACCCCAGGUGACAUCAAGGUCACCUGGCUGGUGGACGGGCAGAAGACCAAGGGCAUGUACGUGCACACCGACACCCCCAAGCAGGAGGGCAGCCUGUCCUCCAUCUUCAGCCAGCUCAACAUCACCCAGGGCGAGUGGGUGUCCGGGAAAACCUACACCUGCCAGGUCCACUAUCAAGGCUGCACCUUUAAGGAACAUGCCCUCAACUGCGCAGAGUCCGAGCCCCGUGGCGUGAGCGUCUACCUGAUCCCGCCCAGCCCCCUCGACCUCUACGUCCACAAGUCAUCCAAGAUCACCUGCCUGGUGGUGGACCUGGCCAGCGAGGAGGGCAUGGACCUGCAGUGGUCCCGGGAGAGUGGGGGCCCUGUCAAAGACACCGAAACCAAAAUCGAACGCCAGUUCAACUUGACUUACACUGUCACGUCCACCCUGCCAGUGAAGACCGAUGACUGGGACAAGGGUGAGACCUACACAUGCAAGCUGAACCACCCACACCUGCCCCAAAAAAUAGUGCGCACCAUCGCCAAGGCCAAAGGUGAACGUGCUGUCCCUGAGGUCUACGUGUUCCUGCCACCCGAGGAGGAGCAGAAGACUAAGCACAUGGUCACCCUCACCUGCCUGAUCCAGAACUUCUUCCCGGCCGACAUCUCGGUCCAGUGGCUACAUGACGGCUCCCUGAUCCAGACAGACCAGCACGUCACCACGUGGCCCCUCGAGGUCAACAGCUCCAGCCACACCUUCUCUGUCAUCAGCCGCCUGAAGGUCAGCCGGGCAGACUGGGAGAAGAGGAUCCAAUUCACCUGCCAGGUGGUCCACGAGGCACUGGAAGGCUCUCGGACCCUCAAGAAAUCAGUGUCCAAAGCCCCUGGUAAUUGA